GUGUUCGUGUCCCGCCUGGAGGAAAACUUUCUCCCGGGUGGGAAGAGGCACAAUAGGCGGACCAGUUGCACUUGAUCCCGGGUAGCGGAGGCACCGGAACCGGUCCGUGAGCCCGGUACCGCCUGCUGCCGCGAGCUCCCUCAGCCGCGUUGCGUCUGCAACCAACUGUCUUUCUGCACCGCGCGCUGGCGGCAGCCAGCGGUCACACGCCAAGCGCUCCCCCGGAACGGGCCCGGGCGUGUGGACCCGGGCGGGCUCGUCUUACCUUCUCCUGCAGAGCGCGGACUGGUUCGCACGGUUCUUCUUCGGGCGCGUUCGGUUUCAGAAGGCUGGGGGCGGGUCUUGCGUCCGCUCUUGGUGUCGCCGCCGCGGAUUGGCCAACGGCGAUUUUUACGUCACUUCCUGCUGAGACAGGAGCUCUUGGCCGCAGAGAGCUGCGGGGUUUCAGUCCGGGGGGUGAAGAGCAACAACAAACAACAAACAACAAACCAACAUGCAGGACAUGGGCGGCACCAUUCUGUGUUGGUGUUUUUUGGCUGGGCGGAGUUACAUAGUGACGUCAAGAGCAAAACAAAACACACAACUAUUGUUUUAACUGAUUCACACGACAAAGUAACACAUGUAUCAAUGGUUUUUUUAUUAUGAAUAAAAUUUCAAGUUAAUAAACACUUUUAUUACACUUUUAUUCAGUCGUAUACGUUUUAAUCAGUCGAGUACUUUUCUCAAUCGCUAAUGUAGGCUACUUUAUUCUUCAUCUCACAGGAACCCUAAAUCAUCAUCACGAAAGUAAACAACAACAAGUCAGAGCGGUGAGGAGCAAUGACCCCCGUCGGCCAGAGCGUCCGCCGACACAGUGUCACUCCAAGGCCUCUGGAAAACUAGAAAUAGAUGAUAGACAGGUUGAUGGACACAGAUGUUGAUGGACACAGAGGUUGAUAGACAGGGAGGUUGAACCGAUCGGUGGCGGUUAAGUAGAUGGACAGGCAGUAGAGGGACAGGCAGUAGAGGGACAGGCAGUAGAUGGACAGGCAGUAGAGGGACAGGCAGUAGAUGGACAGGCAGUAGAGGGAC
Long non-coding RNA from Gasterosteus aculeatus aculeatus (three-spined stickleback), 1071 nucleotides. The record is from Ensembl. Lineage: Eukaryota; Metazoa; Chordata; Actinopteri; Perciformes; Gasterosteidae.